Long non-coding RNA from Procambarus clarkii (red swamp crayfish), 290 nucleotides. RefSeq lists it as uncharacterized. NCBI's taxonomy places the organism in Eukaryota, Metazoa, Arthropoda, Malacostraca, Decapoda, Cambaridae. The record is from RefSeq and is a predicted model, not a curated record.
UGCCAGGGAGGCGUCACGUUUGCUGAGCUGAGAGUGAUGAAGGGGGAGCCACGGAUGUGCAAGCAGGAGAUCCGCUACAGAUAUUACUGUGCUGAUAGAGAUGGCAACACACCAGAUGCCUCUAGUGGAGACAUGGGCUUCAGAUGUGCUGCCGAUUACCUGCCAAAUUAUCAAAGCAAAUAACUGAAGACGUUUACAAUCUAUUACAUAUAAUGAAUGCAAAUUAUUUGGCAAAAAAAAAAAUAGUAAAAUGGUCUUUGUCAUUUAAAAUUAAACAAUUUCAAAAUGAA